UGGGUGCGUACCCACGGCGUGCACUUAGCAAAUGUCCUUUUUCCUCCUUCACGUCGCCCUCCGGGCCACGGCCCACGGCCCAAUUUCGGAAGCACCAGGAGUGUCGAAGCGGACCUAUGUCCUUCCGUCUUCGGGAGGAAGAAACGAACUGCCUUCGUGGAGCCCAGGUCAGCUCCUCCGAGGCGAACGCUUAAAAGCGGCUCGCGUUUUCCAACAGUGGCAUCUCUGAGGAAAACUCAAGAAAUCAAACAGAUCUCCUCAAACUCCAGAGGAACCCAAUGAGUCCGUUAAACAGUGACAAGGUACAAAGCCAGACUAACCCGGGUGGAGACUUCCAGAAGAAAGUUUUGGCAAAAAGAGUACAAAACAAAGUCACAAACGGGCCGAGGCCGGCCGAGCGAGCCCCUGCCAUGGGGCCCCGCACAUCUGCUCCACACUGGGAUUUUUUCAGCCUGCCCUCCACCUACUGAGAUGUGGCUCGGGUGGAGGGGCGUUCUGAGGGUACGCGCCCUCAACUCCGGACUUUCGACUCCAAGCAGAAUUUUCAAAGAAUAAAACGUCUAAGUCCAAAGAGCAGGCUCCCCUCGACUUGGUUAGAAGCCUAGCCCCCGGUCGAUGGCUAUGCGCCAAGGAGGGCCUUUUCCCUCCCACCUGUGGGGAGCAGAGUCCCCACUUCCAGGGCUGACACCACACAGGAGUGUUCACCAACCCAGGGUACCACCCGGCAACCCAGAAGCCGGUCGCAGAAGCGGCUUUCUCCAGUGAAAUUCUUCUUUCCCGGGGGUUGAUGACUCCAACUCUAAAGACUCCUGCCUCCCCCUUCCCAGCCCCCCGCCUUGCAUCCCACUCGCAUUUUCCUGAGGCUCACUGACUGUAGGAAAACAAGUAUCGCAUUAUGCUGGACUCCCUGGAAUGAGAUCAGUUCUAGUUUCAAAUUCCUUGCCGAACAAGCCCAAGGCCACAGACCCGGUACAAAUCCCAGCUGCUCGGCGGGGCAGAAGGCCUGAGCGAGCUCAAGAAAGCACGACUGAAGUCGUGACCGGCAAACGCAUCCUAAACCUGGACCGGCUUCCUCCCAGGUCUGGUCCACAGCGCGGGGCACGAACACGUCCGUAAAGGACCCGGUCUCGGCUCCUCCCCCCCGAGGCAGCACGGCCAAGGCGCGGCUGCGGUGCGGCGCUGGGCUGCGAUUUUCUCCAACUGGCACCAUCUGUGCGUGCCCUGCCAGACGUGCUGACAGAGCAGGCUGCGUAGACCAUUACUAAUCUACCGGGGUCGGCGGGGUCAGGCCUGCAACAUGAGGCCUAUGGAUUUCAAAGGCCGGCCUUCCCCCCACGCCAGCUCAUCAAUCUAGGCUGAAAAGCAGCCACAUUUUUAUCCUCCUUUUAAAUUUCAAAGAAAAAAUUCUCAUCUUCGAGUUUAGCGUGGGGGGAUCGCUUGCACGUCAUCGGUGUCCGGAGACCAGCUGAGUGGUACAUCUGCGGGGCUGGAGGCUCAGCCGUUGAUCCUCUGCCAAAAUUGGGUGACCAGGCCGGGGGGAUGACUUUCCUCGCAUACACAAAGCCUUCAGAGCGGCGGCGUAGAGGAAGGCCAACAGGGAGCGAGAUUCAAACUCUACUGCUGCCAGGCACCGCCCCUAAGGGGAGUCUGCAGAAGAACAGUAAAUGCCAAAGACCAUCCUAUCAGGACGGUACCGUGGGAGCCCAGGCAGUACAAUUCGGGCUGGUGAAUGAAAACACAGCCUCACCCCCCAUCCAUCUCAGAAUUCACCCAGGAGGCCCGCAACUGCCAGCAGCUGCCGAUCAAGUGUUUACUGAACGCCUACUGUGCGCCAAGAGCUAUGGAAUAAGCAAGUCUCGUGCUCAGCUCUACACUGGCCAAGGGCCCCGUGGAAACAGGAAGUCAGUCCCACCUUCAAAAGGCCAUUGGGUGGCAACGGCAUGAUUCCAGGUGUACUACGAUCUUCAAGUUAAACGAUGACUCAAUCUGCCAACAGUCCACCAAUCACCACAAAACUAAGACAUCACUGCAAACUCCAAAGAAACCAGAUCUUUAUUUACAAUGAUUAAAGGCUUAAGGAAAUUAAGUUUUUCCGGACUCCGGGCAACUACAAGCGAAGGCUGGCCCAGCUACCAGCACACCCCCCGCCCCCAGGCUGCUCCCCUCACAAGGGUGCCUCAGCAUGACCUAAGAAGCAGUCACCCCAUCCCUUAGCCUUAAUCUGUUCCAGAUCAAGGAAGCACUGCUAUCAUAACAACGGACCCGCACGCAGCCCUUCGACUCCUCUGGAUAUGCUACAACGUGCUAAGCACACGAAACCGAUGGAAGCAUUUCGAAUGAGAGGCUUCACCUCUAUCGUGACUUUACGAACCCAUCCUGGGACGUGCUGGCACUGAAGAUUUCAUUCUCUCUGUAAAAUGAACACCUUCACGUUCCAAGAUGACCUGUUUUGGUCUUUGAGAAACAGUCAGAUUUUACGAGCCCUAACUCAACACUAGGCUUCGGGUGUAAAGCUUUCUGCUGUCUUUCCCCCACCUCUAGAGCCCUAUAUUAUGUUUUAGAGGCUGGGAUUGUUCUAGACACCAGCAGCUCCUUUUUUAAACAAAGGCUGCCAAACAUUUAUCUCCCUCUCUGUCUGCUUCUGCUGGGGCAAAAGAUAAGCAUCUAGACAGAGACUUGCAUCGUGUUUUACCUGUAACUCAUCUAAACCACCAACUGACAAACACAGGUUCUGCCUCUGAGCACCAGGGAAGCUUGGGCAUAGAAAUAGCUGCACGGACCUGUGCCUCCAACAUCACUGCCAGCACAGAGGCGGCGAGUGCAACGAUCAGAAGGCAGGAGGCCUAGAUGGUGGAAUGGGAAACCCUCGACAAGUCUCAAAAUAUCAAGCCAAGCUAGAAGGUGGCAAAGAUAUGGCCACAGAACUCACAGUAAAGACCUAAACGGCCACAUUAUAAGUAGAGAUCGGAACAAAUCCAUGUAUCUCCAGCAGCCCAAGCAUCCCCCAGAAAAACAGCCAGCAUAGAUGUGGUCAGACUCUCUUCCACUGUAAGCAACUUAUGAGCCUAUCAAGGCAUCUACACUCUCUUUUGCCUCUUCGAGUUCUAAAAAUUUAAUCAUACUUCACUAGCCUAUUGCUGAGAGGUAGGAUGUUUGUUUUUUAUCAACUAUUGCUAAGCAUGAAUAUUAACGGGUAAACUUUAACUCUGCAUUGAUAGGAUUAUACUGGCUUGUAAAGGGCAGGAGGACCCUCACUUCUGAAGAAAUAACAGAAGGACAAAAGGAACCAAGUUCAUUUUAUUCUGUCUUCCAUGAUCAAUUAGAUGUUAGGCAGUUUAAGAUUCUAAUGGAAGAUUCUUGCAGGGUCCUCAGAAGCCCUGCCCAACAGGAGACCCCCACCAUAUACCAGGCACUGAGUAGGGACCAGGGGUAUCAAGAUAUGACCUCUGCCCCCCCCCCCCAGCAUCCUAGGACAAAUGGGAAUCAAAUGCUCUUAAGUCCUUAGGGCUACAGUUUUUCUUAAGAGACUUGCUGGCAUGCGAUAUUGACACAACAGCCAGCCUUCUACAGGUUCAGAGAGGGAGGAAAAAAACACAAUAGCCAGGGUUAGAACACGGAGAAAUAUUUUGGUUUCUGAUAAAAUGCUGGCAUAAUAUUAAAACCAGUUACGAGUGAUCAAAGGAACCUACACUAAACACUGUGGUCACUCUGCCUUCAUGUGCCAUUAGCAUUUGCCCAAGAGCCACCUCUGUGACAAAUCAAAAUGGCUUGCCCCAGGCUCUGCUUACAGGAGCCACUGUCUGAUUUUGCGAACAGGUUACAUUAUGGGGUCUUUUUUUUUUUUUUUUAAACAUUUAAUGUACCUCAUACAACACCUUCUCUACAAUGGUUUUGGGAGAUCACUCCCUAAUCCCCAAUUCUUCCUCAAGGAAACCAGUUAAGAAUCCUUAAGAGAAUUAACUUAGACAACUAAUUACCGCCCCCCCAACCCACACACAAAAAAAACCCCUCCUACUGCAAGGUGGGGAAAUGGAUCACCAGAAGGCAACAACAAUGAUCACCAGGAGGUGUGGAAGACAAACAGAAACAAAAAGGAGGACUCCUUUCUGUUCUGGGGAGUUGCAAGCAAAAUGCCCACCUGUAGGAGUAAAAGCUUUCCUCUCCAAGCUCCAAGUUUUAACACACAAUCCAGAAACCAACAGAACACCACUGGCCCAAAUCCAAAGUUAUUCUAAUGGGGCUGAUUCACAUAGUUGACCUUGCAUUUGAUGGCAGUAUCACCACACGUAGAAAGAAAUACAAGUUAUUUAAGGUGUCGAGGUAUAGUCUCUACCCAUAAAUAUUUUAGUAUUUUUUCCAGAUGCCCCAUCUAUUUUCCCAACAGUGUGCACAGUUCACUAAACAAGGCCAUAAAUAAAGACUGACUUUUUAAAGAAGGCUUAGUAUUAUAGGCUAUUUUUAGACCUUUAUUGAUCAUUCCAGAACGUGCCAUCUCUCCAUGUAUAUUGUGGAGUAAACACUGUAUUUUCUGCUUCAUAGGAUUCUUUUAAAUAUCAACUUUUAAAGUCACAGAAUUGCAGCAUCCUAGAGUUUCAGAAAAGCUUAAGGGCCAACUAGUUUAUCUCGCCUGUCAUUAAUGAAACGAGAACUUAGGAAGUCAUGUGACGUGCCCAAUGGCGUGCCUUUGGAAACCCAUCAGGUUAUACCAGCCAAGCUGAAAUACAGUGACUAACCCCUUAUGUGGGCAAAAAUUUACCUUUUUUUAGCUACUCUGUACAGAAGUUAUAAAUAACCAAAGAUUUCUUUUUAAAUAUAUCUGUAUUAAUACAUUUCAAAAUAAAUCUAUUGCAAUCAUUUAAUGGGUUGCUUAAAUAUAAUGUUUUCAUAACCACCUUUCAAAGCAUAAGCACAUGUUGAAACUCACUGGACCACCCAAGUCAAAAAUCUACUUAUGCUAUUUAAUGUUUAUUUGGUUUGUUUCUAAAUGUGUAUUUAAGUGGCAAAGUCAUAAAAGGAAGAAUUAAUGAUAAUCGAUACCAGACCUGCACCCAUGGAGUGCUUCUUGAGUUUACGGUAUUUAGUCAAGUCAGCCAAGGGGGAACAAAAAACUAUUCUAAAGUGAGAAAACUCUGUAUAAUACUUUAAAAGCAAGUCCCCAACCAUAUGCUGUAUUCUUAAAGCACAAUUAUCCCGAGACCAAAACACAAUCCUCUGAAAGACACUGACGGAAAGGAAAAUGUAGACCUCUCAGAAGUGUGUGGAGGUAACAAACGAGAUUUAAUGCCAAAAAAGAGUAGGCUUUUUGCCCAUUCAGAUACCUUCAAAACUGUCAUUAUAACUUUAGAUUCUAAAAUGAACUACCAGCUUUAAAAAGACCGAGCAACAAAGGAUCCAUCUACUUACCUAAAUAUGCAGAUGGCUCAUACGCCUAAGGAAUGCUCGAAAUUUACCCAAAACUCACAACACGGCUUCUCAUAGUAACAGUCAUCAAAGCGAUUAGGUUUCCAGACCAGCCUACAGAGGCAUUUCUAAUUCCGUCUGUACCUGAGGUAAUAAAUGCUAGUCAUUUGUAGAACCCAGAAAGCAAAGAGUAGCUAAGGGGUCAAGGCAAGUGACAAAGAGAAGGGCUUUGUAGGGACCGAGAGAAAAGCCUGCUUUCAUUUACUCUUCUCCUAGUACUUAACAUCUGGCUACAUUAAGGAGCAAUCAGCAGGCUGACUUGGGCUCCUCUCCCUCCUGUUCCCAGCUCUCUGCCUUCCUGGCCUCUUUAACACCAGCCCUCCAGGGGAAGAAGAACCAGAGGUCAAAGUGUAGCAAUUGCCGCCUGCCCAUACUUCUAAUAGGCAAUAAAGCCAAAAGAGCAACCAGUACCUGAGACCAAGGGAGCAGAGAAGAAAAUGAGGAACCCCAGAGGCAGCAGGAGAAAAGCCAAUACCGGAAAAUCAACAAGACCAACAGUUAAGCUAAAAGGCCUGUGGCAGCCCAAACAGAGUAGGGUAUUCCUGGGAAAAGGGCUUUGAGAAAUUUGGCACACGGCGGGGGGGGGGGGAAGCAACUAAAGCAAACUCUGGUUGGCCCCUUGAGAAGUUAGGAAAUGGAGUAGUUCUUCUCUAAGAAGGGGCCAGGGCACAAAAUCAGGAGGAGAUGUGAAUGAGGCUAGCUGAACUCCAGCACACGUCCCGUGACGGGUGAUCGUUUAACUAUUCGGAUCCCUAAAUCCAGUGAAUUAUCCUGAUCCGUUCUGUACUGUGUACCGAAAUAAGAGGGUGAGCCAUCACCACGACUGGAAAAACUCCAAAUCCUGACAGCCUAGGGCUUGAUUGCAGUCCUGGCCUAAAAUCGAGGAAGUUCCCUGAAGUAAUUCACACCGUGUAAUUGCCAGAUUUAAAUUUAGUAGCUUAUCAGUAAAAUCCAUUGCACAAAAGCUGCCAGCCAAUAAGGGAAGAGAUGUUAGAAGCUUGCAGGGCAAAGCCAUUUCUUGAGACAAGUUCUAACCCAGAGAAAGCACCAAGGGAAUCCUCUGGAGACACGGGCAGUGCCCCUUCUUGAUCUCAGAGCAUGUCAAAGCAAGUGUUCUUAAAACGGAAGUAUACCCACCUGAAAACUACAUCCUGGCUCUUCAAGAAUGUAUGGUGUCUAUGCUAAUGCCCUUCACGGGGCUGAAAUUCGGCUCCGCAUGGGGCUGCCUGCCUCCACACGGGGACCACAGGGCCCCAAGAGGAAAAGACAAGUAGAGGAGAAGGGCACACAGGGUGCAGCAGAAGGCACUAUCCCAGGGGAUCGGGACAUCCUCAGGCACCCAGUUCUGAGACCACACGAGUGGCCAUUCGCCACAUGUCGUGGAACCGGGCUCGGGCCGUAGACUGACAAGAGGGGUCCAUGCCACUGGGGCACUGAAAUCCACAUAUGUACAACCAUCACGCGGUCCUGUGGCUUCAACAAAUCUCAAGAUCAUGACAGGAGCCGUGUGACGUUCAGGGAAGGGCGCUGGGCUGAAUCUGCAGACCUAGAUUUCGGGAGCGACCUUGCUGGCUUAGCUCAGGGAAAGGGACAAAUCGUUUCCUCUCUGGGACUCAAUGUCCUCAUCUGUAAAAUACAGAGCAGAUGCGCUCUGUUAGCACAGAAUUCCGACUGACAUGGGAACUGACACUCAAAGCCAUUUGGAUGCCCCCACCCCACACACACACAUGUGGCACAGGGAGCCUCCACGACUGCCCAGCGAGCACAUUCACAAGGUUCUAGCAAGAUUCAGUACAGUGCAAUCAGCAACGAGCCUACUUAGGCACUCUGAGGGUACCAGCAAGAUCUCACCAGAACAAACAGACGGCACACGAAAGCACAUGGAGGGAAGAGCCACUGGCUGGUGUUCCUCGAGGUCAAGAACCGGGUCUCCCUCCAAGGGCACUACUAAGUAUCCCCAUAGCAUCGCCGCUGUGCAUGGCAAUCACCGGGCAGUUCAGAUUUCUCCCUCCUCUAAACUCAGUCCUCAGGCAGAGGACUCCCAGCAAGGUGACUUCCUCCCCCCUGGCAAGUUGCUUAACAGAGUGACAGCAACGCUGUUCAUCAGCGGUGGAGGGGUGUGUGUGAGAAGAGCAUCUUCCUAAACAGGCUCCCAGUAGCUUUGGGGCAGGAAUAAGUCCACCUCCCUAUUAGGAAGGACGUUUCACAAGGUGACUCAAUGCCCAUUACGCAAAAGAAACAUCAGUCCGCACAGAGCCGGAGGUGCGGCCCGCUCUGGUGUUCCAGGGCCACCACCUCCCGAGUGGGUGACCCCGUCCCGGAACGCCCUCCCCAAAGGAGCUCCUAGCGCUGCCGCCCCUCCUCCUCGCCUGUGUCCUACUCUGCCAAAGCCCAGAUUUGAACUUCCCACUCAGGAAGGCACAGAUGUGACAGCUCUUCCUCCCCUUUCCACCCUGCUGAGGUUUGCUUCCACGUGUAACUCGUGUUAGGAUUCAUUCCCUGGAUACGGGACCUCCAACAGUGUGAGGUGGAGACAGAAGAGCCAGUGCAGGUUGUUUUUUGUUUUUGUGUUUUUGUUUUGCCAAGCCCUAAACCUAUACAAUCUGAUGCAAAUUAAACUAGUCCUUUCGGGUCCAAAGGGGCCGUUGGCCAAGUUAACGGCACAGCCCCCCGCAAUCAGGGCACAGAGAGACGCACGCUCCGGGAGAGGGUGCCCAGGCUUUGUCAAAACAGAAAACGCACUCAGUGGAAAAUUGAACUCGAUCUGGAGAACCACUCGGUCCUGCUAAAGAACUAUUACGGUAAGACCCGCACACCACCGCCACCCUCCUCACGCCCUUUAUUUUCUAAACCCGCAGACACUUCCCCACUCACGUCCGCCAACCUAUUAUCCUCUCCCAGCUUCAAAAGCUAACUGCCCCAAAGCUACAUUUUCUCCAUGAAGCCAGUUCCUAAUAGCAUUCCCUAGGAGUGCACGGCUUCCAAAACUUGAAAGGAGCCAAGAAAUCUCAGGCCUCUGAGAUUUAACAACUUUGUGUGGUAGGCUUGCAUCGCCUGCUCUCUUUAACUCAAACCGUAAUCCCCCUUUAAAAUCUGGACAGCAACAGGGAAAGAAAAAAGGAUUAUAGAAAUGAUAAAACCUAGGGUGCUGAUACGUGAAAUCCUGGAUCCACUUCUCGAUUCAUUCACAGACUCUCUGGAAAACAUUAGGAGAGGCAUGUUGUAUCUGUUUCUCCCUUUAUGAGGUAGCUUUUUAUUAAGCCGUGUUGACAUGGUAUCAUAGAAUACUCACAAGUCUUUCUAAGCAAAUUAGGAGCACGGAGGCUCCCUCAAACUGAAUCAUGAUGUACAUCUGCCUUUAUUGUCUAGUAUCUUUUAUAGGUCUCAGGGAUCUGCCCAAUACCCUACUGACAACAGAAAUCCAAUUCUUAAAAAGACAUUUUCAUGUACAAAGAGGCCAUCAAAUUAUCACCCGUAAUUCACUUAAGUCAACAUCUGGCGCCAUGACUGUGACUCUUUCUUUAUCCUCAGAUACAAUGCACACCAUAGACCGCAAGAGGAAGGACCACAAGCCUGGCAACAGGAAAAUUCCUGGAGGCUCGUGACAAACACCAAUGGCCCUGGGGUGGAUUUAGACGUGGAAUGGAUACUUGGAAUCCUAGAAACAAAGAGGGAGAAUCUGGGAAAUUCGGUUUCCUGAGUGUUAGCAUCUCACAGGCCAUUAAUGGGAAAUGGCUUCACUUCACUCACAUCAGAGCCACGGAUUUUUGGUUUUUGGGUUUUUGUUUUUUUUUUUUUUUGUAACCCUUUUCCCAUCUCUAAUGUAGGAUCUAGUGCAGAUGCUACAAUUUGGGGCCAACUUUUGGUUAGUAAAGCUGUAGGCCAAGUUAUUUUCUUCGUUCUCCAGUUCAACUAUGGUUUAGGCAAGCCCCACCCUGACACCCUGCAAACCUGUGACCCCAACUAUAAACAGGGAGGGCUAAGAUCUACUCUUUUACUCACUGACCUCUCCUCCUCCCUGCUCUGGGCUGUCCAUACUCUUCCUGCAAACAACCGGUAGACAGUCCCCCCACCCACCCACCCCCCGCCAUGACUGGCCAUGACUCCUCCUCUAAUUCUGGCUCCUGUGUGAUUUUUCCCAAGGGACCUCCUCACGGCACAGCUUCUCUGAUGUAGAUCUGACCCCAGCUCUGGCCCAGCCUCUUCCACCCACUGCUGGACUCCCAUUACCAGACGACAGCCUUGUAGGGAUCCUCUAACAAGAUGGAUCAAGACCAUCUGCCAUUUGCAGUGUUCCCUUCACUCUUAGAGAACUCCCAUGCUCCUGCCAAACUAAACAGAGAAUAUGUGAGCUGCCCGGCUGGGAGCCCCUUCUCCUGUUGUGCCUCACAGUUCCUUCCGCCCCAGCCCAGACAAGCACAGGGGUAGUUAGGCACGUCAGCCUGAGCAGACAUUCCACCAGGAAAUCCAACACCAGCUUUUGCAUUCUUGCAGGCACCCCCCAUCUCUAUGGGUGAGUCUUUCAGAAUUUUCCCCGUCACCUCUGAUAUAAAGCUGAUGAGCCUUUCUCCUCACUUCCCCAGUGUUCUGCGCAGGCUAGAAAAGAAAGGGGGUGAUAACUGCUGGCAAGAGGGAAAUUUUGUUUUCUCUUAGUAAGCUCUUUGGGGAGCUGUCUGGCCUCAGAUAGACAUGGCUCUCAUCAGAUCACACGGUCUUCAGGUAUUUUAGCUCAACGUGAGCCAGAAGCACCUAUUAUAAGACAGCAGAGAAGUCUGACAAUAAUUACCAACAAGUUAAUAGUACAGAAUCACCCAACUACCCACCGACUUUUUAAUUUUGUAAUAUUUACUUACUUUGAGAGAGACACAAAAAGCAUGAGCAGGGGAGAGAGUGAGAGCAGAAUCUGAAGCAGGCUCCAGACUGAGCUGUGAGCAUAGAGCCAGAUACAG
This is a long non-coding RNA of Felis catus (domestic cat), 10409 nucleotides long. RefSeq lists it as uncharacterized. The transcript is spliced from 3 exons. The record is from RefSeq and is a predicted model, not a curated record. NCBI's taxonomy places the organism in Eukaryota, Metazoa, Chordata, Mammalia, Carnivora, Felidae.